GUGAGGAAUUUUCCGCAAUGGGCGAAAGCCUGACGGAGCAAUGCCGCGUGAAGGAUGAAGGCCUAUGGGUUGUAAACUUCUUUUCUCAGAAAAGAAUUAUGACGGUAUCUGAGGAAUAAGCAUCGGCUAACUCUGUGCCAGCAGCCGCGGUAAGACAGAGGAUGCAAGCGUUAUCCGGAAUGAUUGGGCGUAAAGCGGCUGUAGGUUGUUUAAAAAGUAUUCUGUCAAAGAUUAGGGCUUAACCCUAGAUAGGCAGAAUAAACUUUUAAGCUAGAGUUUGGUAGAGGCAGAGGGAAUUCCCGGUGGAGCGGUGAAAUGCGUAGAUAUCGGGAGGAACACCAAAGGCGAAGGCACUCUGCUGGGCCAAUACUAACACUGAGAGACGAAAGCGAGGGGAGCAAAUGGGAUUAGAUACCCUAGUAGUCC
Molecule: ribosomal RNA, 426 nt
Filed under: uncultured bacterium
Lineage: Bacteria
Description: partial 16S ribosomal RNA
Rfam family: Bacterial small subunit ribosomal RNA
Source: RNAcentral